This 460-nucleotide ribosomal RNA is filed under the name uncultured bacterium. RNAcentral describes it as "partial 16S ribosomal RNA". It matches the Rfam family "Bacterial small subunit ribosomal RNA", at positions 338 to 795 of the family's 1533-position model. The record is from RNAcentral.
CCUACGGGUGGCAGCAGUGAGGAAUAUUGGUCAAUGGUCGGGAGACUGAACCAGCCAAGCCGCGUGAGGGAUGAAGGUACAGAGUAUCGUAAACCUCUUUUGUCAGGGAACAAAGGCGGGGACGUGUCCCCGGAUGAGUGUACCUGAUGAAAAAGCAUCGGCUAACUCCGUGCCAGCAGCCGCGGUAAUACGGAGGAUGCGAGCGUUAUCCGGAUUUAUUGGGUUUAAAGGGUGCGGAGGCGGUCUGUUAAGUCAGCGGUCAAAGCCCGGGGCUCAACCCCGGGCCGCCGGUGGAACCUGGCAGUCGCGAGUGGGGGAGAGGUAGGCGGAAUGCGCGGUGUAGCGGGGAAAUGCAUAGAUAUCGCGCAGAACUCCGAUUGCGAAGGCAGCAUGCCGGCUCCACACUGACGCUGAGGCACGAAAGCGUGGGUAUCGAACAGGAUUAGAUACCCGAGUAGUC